UCUUCAGGUAGGUUUUCUAAUUUUUGAAAUUCCUUUUAGAAGCCUGAACAUCGUCAGAGACCCAUUUCCAGUUAAGAUCACCCUGACAGUUAUAGGCGAGCAUUUCCCAGCUGCUGACUCCUCUGGUUGUAAAUCAUCACAGAAUUCUUUCAUGCUGAAGGACUUCCUAAAUCCAGAUAAGUAACUCCUUGGGGCCUGCCGUGUGCUGCUGGUUGUGCUGCUGUGCACAGGAAGACCGGUGCAUGACAUUAGUGCCAUCCACGCUGCGUCAAAGAGCGUGAGCCUCUGCUGAAACCUUACGAUGCCUCCCAGACACAGAGCCAGACAGCAUCCCCACAAGGCUUCCCAGUUGCAUAGAGAUCCUCGCCGUUCUUCUGAUUCCCUCACAAUGCAGACUUGAUAAGAAGAGGCUUCAGGCAAGCUGUGGAAGCCGAUCAGUUCCUGGACUGCAGUGCAAUCCUUAGUCAGGUGGGUGUAAAGGAGAGGACAGUGCGUUGUGCUGGGAGGACAGGCUUGGGUGCCAAAGCAAACUCUUAGGCUUGCACCUUAGGCUGGUCCUGCUGCCAGAGGUGAUGCGUUGUCAAACUACAGCCUCGUUUCCUUACCUAGGGUGUGUAUAAAGAGGGAUUGGCAUCAGGAACAGGCCAUUAAGCAAUUGAAACUCUAAUAGAAAAACAUAACCUUAUCACAGAUUUUUUUUAAAAAACCCUUGGAAAAUAGCUCAAAUAUAAGGUUAAUUGGAGCCAGAAAUGUCAAACUAAUGUAGCAAUUUACCCUGGGAGACUGCCCUGGCCUUUGAGUAUAGCAAUAGUACAGACUACUGAGUAGGAUAGUGGAGAAAUAUAAUAGGAUUUUAUGUAGUCCCCUGUCAUAUUAAACGUUCCUUGCAAUUAAUUUCUUGUUGCAAUGUUAUUUUCACUGACCUAUUUUUUUUGACCUCCUACGAUCUUUAAGCUACCAAAGUAGGGCGUACGGGAAUUCACAUUUCUUAAAAAAAAAUAAAAUCUUAACUUAUAACA
This 1019-nucleotide long non-coding RNA is filed under the name Anser brachyrhynchus (Pink-footed goose). RNAcentral's name for it is "lncRNA (ENSABRG00000010044.1)". Lineage: Eukaryota; Metazoa; Chordata; Aves; Anseriformes; Anatidae. The record is from RNAcentral.